This 952-nucleotide small RNA is filed under the name Pan troglodytes (chimpanzee). Its description in RNAcentral is "retained intron". The record is from RNAcentral. Lineage: Eukaryota; Metazoa; Chordata; Mammalia; Primates; Hominidae.
CCUACUCCCGCCUUACCUGACUUCCUUUUCGGAGGAAGAUCCUUGAGCAGCCGACGUUGGGACAAAGGAUUUGGAGAAACCCAGGGCUAAAGUCACGUUUUUCCUCCUUUAAGACUUACCUCAACACUUCACUCCAUGGCAGUUCCCGAGACCCGCCCUAACCACACUAUUUAUAUCAACAACCUCAAUGAGAAGAUCAAGAAGGAUGAGCUAAAAAAGUCCCUGUACGCCAUCUUCUCCCAGUUUGGCCAGAUCCUGGAUAUCCUGGUAUCACGGAGCCUGAAGAUGAGGGGCCAGGCCUUUGUCAUCUUCAAGGAGGUCAGCAGCGCCACCAACGCCCUGCGCUCCAUGCAGGGUUUCCCUUUCUAUGACAAGCCUAUGCGUAUCCAGUAUGCCAAGACCGACUCAGAUAUCAUUGCCAAGAUGAAAGGCACCUUCGUGGAGCGGGACCGCAAGCGGGAGAAGAGGAAGCCCAAGAGCCAGGAGACCCCGGCCACCAAGAAGGCUGUGCAAGGCGGGGGAGCCGCCCCCGUGGUGGGGGCUGUCCAGGGGCCUGUCCCGGGCAUGCCGCCGAUGACUCAGGCGCCCCGCAUUAUGCACCACAUGCCGGGCCAGCCGCCCUACAUGCCGCCCCCUGGUAUGAUCCCCCCGCCAGGCCUUGCACCUGGCCAGAUCCCACCAGGGGCCAUGCCCCCGCAGCAGCUUAUGCCAGGACAGAUGCCCCCUGCCCAGCCUGUGAGUAUCUAGUCCCACCCACCAGGUCUCAUAUAAAUAGUGAGAAUACAGGACUAGAAAGGGACCAGUUGGGGGGCUGCUGUAGGUUGGGUGGUCUGGGCAGGCCCCCUGAGGAGGUGGUACUGAAUGAGGAAGUAGCAGUGGGGGUGGGCCCUGGGCAGAGGAAUUGGCAUGCUGGUUGGAGGGUACGGAAGGUUAGGGUAGGCUGGAGUGGUGC